This 467-nucleotide ribosomal RNA is filed under the name uncultured bacterium. Its description in RNAcentral is "partial 16S ribosomal RNA". It matches the Rfam family "Bacterial small subunit ribosomal RNA", at positions 29 to 507 of the family's 1533-position model. The record is from RNAcentral.
AUGCACGCUGGCGGCGUGCUUAACACAUGCAAGUCGAACGGAAAGGCCCAAGCUUGCUUGGGUACUCGAGUGGCGAACGGGUGAGUAACACGUGGGUGAUCUGCCCUGCACUUCGGGAUAAGCCUGGGAAACUGGGUCUAAUACCGGAUAGGACCACUUCUUGGAUGUUGUGGUGGAAAGUUUUCUCGGUGUGGGAUGAGCUCGCGGCCUAUCAGCUUGUUGGUGGGGUAAUGGCCUACCAAGGCGUCGACGGGUAGCCGGCCUGAGAGGGUGUACGGCCACAUUGGGACUGAGAUACGGCCCAGACUCCUACGGGAGGCAGCAGUGGGGAAUAUUGCACAAUGGGCGCAAGCCUGAUGCAGCGACGCCGCGUGGGGGAUGACGGCCUUCGGGUUGUAAACUCCUUUCGCUAGGGACGAAGCGUUUUUGUGACGGUACCUGGAGAAGAAGCACCGGCUAACUACGUG